GCCAAUGUGGUGUAGUGGUUUGAAUAUUGGACCAUGACUCUGGAGAUCAGGGUUCAAUUCCCUACAGCCA
RNAcentral lists this transfer RNA (70 nucleotides) under Phrynosoma platyrhinos (Desert horned lizard). Its description in RNAcentral is "tRNA-OTHER". The record is from RNAcentral. Lineage: Eukaryota; Metazoa; Chordata; Lepidosauria; Squamata; Phrynosomatidae.